Molecule: non-coding RNA, 186 nt
Organism: Vicia faba (fava bean)
Lineage: Eukaryota; Viridiplantae; Streptophyta; Magnoliopsida; Fabales; Fabaceae
Source: the annotation of a GenBank genome assembly
AUGUUAGUAUGUUAUCCUCUCGGUUUUGCUGGCCCCUCUUAUAAUGAAACAAGGGUGGAUAUUUGGAGGGAAUCAAUGAGGUUUUUGAACGUUGUUGUACUGCUGACUUUGGGCUUUAGAAUGCAGGUUCUAAUUAUGCCUAUUUUGGUGCAAAUUUUGGCCUGUUUUGUUUGGUGUUUAUGCUGA